This 1699-nucleotide long non-coding RNA is filed under the name Olea europaea (common olive). RNAcentral describes it as "long non-coding RNA (OEUR_LNC006541)". The record is from RNAcentral. Lineage: Eukaryota; Viridiplantae; Streptophyta; Magnoliopsida; Lamiales; Oleaceae.
UAAUAUUUGCAAAAAAUUAAAUAAAAAUUAAGCAUAAUCAAAUGAAAUACUUUAAUGCAACUUUUUUUUAUAUAAAGAAUACAAAAAUAAAAAACUGAAAUUCCAAUUUUAAGUAGGGGAAUAUUCUUCCAAGGAGUGGCAUAAACUAUGAGUGAUCCACUCUAAAUGGCUAACCUUUUUCCCUCUCACAAUAGUUAAUGUCCAAUGGGGCACUUCCAACUUGUGUUCUAAAAGGGACGUCAAGGAGCCGUCUCGGCACAGUGCGCCACGAAAACGCCAAGCCAAGUCGCUUGGCACCUUACAUAGCGGUAAACAGCAAUUGUUGACUGUUAACACCAUUUGAAAUUAUUAAUGUCCAAAAUGGCAAUUAAUGUCCAAAACACCAUUUGAGGCGACAUUCAUUCAAUAAAUUGUUGGAAGGUUAACAUUUUAAGAUUGAAAUAUUAAAAGAGUUCAAACACGUAAUUUGAUCUAAUUAAAGUUUUGUUACACGUUUUUUAUAACGUAAAUAUACUGCAACCGUAUGAUGUCAAGUUUUAUAAUAUAACGACCAAAUACGGACGUUGAACUCACGGGUUUUGAAAUUCAAUUUCUUACUAAGUACCAUAAUUGUGUACCCUUUAUUUUAUCUAGACAAUAGAAAUUUGCAGUCAAUGGUUAUAACAAAAUCUAAUGAUGAAACGUGAUGAUGAAUUUAGCAAAUGAAUGUAAGUUUGAAAGAUUUUUCAAUAUGAGAAAGUCUAGAAUUUUGAUUUCACCUAACUAUUAAACAUGUUUGUCAAAUAUCUAAUUAUUUCUAAUUAAUUUUUUCAAGUUUAUAAGUAGAAACCCUAAUGUAAUCCUACCCUCUCUCUCUCUCGAGUGCCAAGUAAAAAACUAUUCCUAUAAUUCAAUUUUAACAUCUCUAUUCCGAAUUAAAUAUCUAGAUAUUAUCAAUUUUAUGGUUCUUAAGUGAAACAUACUUCAAAUUUUUUUUAUACUUUCUCUCAAAACCUAUGAAAUUUAGGUUGUUUUAUUAUAAGAUUACGCCUAAGUUUCCCUCUUUCGAGUGUCGAAACUUAAACAAUAAAUUUAUUCAAUUAAUUGCCAAGUAAUUGAAAGCAUUAAAAUCAAUAGCACGGAAUAAAGAAAAUGGAAAAUGUCAAGGAAAUAACAGCAUAAAAUUAAAACAUAAUCUAAAAUUGGAAGCAUGGAAACUAUCAAAUUUAUAAUAAACAAAAUAGAGAAGAAAUGAGAAAAACUAGUGUUGUAGAGAAUCAACCUUCUUCGCUUUGUUGAUCUUGACUUGCUCCUUGUCCUGUUGAAUUGUGUUUGAAAAGUGGCAUUUCAACUUGUAUUUAUAGGUUCUUUGAAUUCCCGAUGGAGUUGGAUUGUAACUGGCCUCUUAAUAGUAAAAAAAACUUGAAAAAAACUAGUGUUGUAGAGAAUCAACCUUCUUCGCUUUGUUGAUCUUGACUCGCUCCUUGUCCUGUUGAAUUGUGUUUGAAAAGUGGGAUUUCAACUUGUAUUUGUUCUUUGAAGUCCCGAUGGAGUUGGAUUGUAAUUGGCCUCUUAAUAGUAAAAAAAACUUGAAAAACCUACUGAUGACACAACGCCUAGGCACCCAAGAGCAGCACCUAGGCAUCACAAUGUGCGUCUAUGCUGGCACCUGGAUGCCAGCUUACUAGAUUAUUUUUUGUUUACGGGCACUCGGGAGCUC